This 250-nucleotide ribosomal RNA is filed under the name uncultured bacterium. Its description in RNAcentral is "partial 16S ribosomal RNA". It matches the Rfam family "Bacterial small subunit ribosomal RNA", at positions 524 to 773 of the family's 1533-position model. The record is from RNAcentral.
UACGGAGGAUGCAAGCGUUAUCCGGAUUUAUUGGGUUUAAAGGGUGCGUAGGUUGAUUAAUAAGUCAGCGGUGAAAUCCAGUAGCUUAACUACUGAACUGCCGUUGAAACUGUUGGUCUUGAGUGUGAACGAGGUAGGCGGAAUUCGUAGUGUAGCGGUGAAAUGCAUAGAUAUUACGAAGAACUCCGAUAGCGCAGGCAGCUUACCAGGCCACAACUGACACUGAAGCACGAAAGUGUGGGUAUCAAAC